GAUGAACGCUGGCGGCGUGCCUAAUACAUGCAAGUCGAGCGAACGGACGAGAAGCUUGCUUCUCUGAUGUUAGCGGCGGACGGGUGAGUAACACGUGGAUAACCUACCUAUAAGACUGGGAUAACUUCGGGAAACCGGAGCUAAUACCGGAUAAUAUUUUGAACCGCAUGGUUCAAAAGUGAAAGACGGUCUUGCUGUCACUUAUAGAUGGAUCCGCGCUGCAUUAGCUAGUUGGUAAGGUAACGGCUUACCAAGGCAACGAUGCAUAGCCGACCUGAGAGGGUGAUCGGCCACACUGGAACUGAGACACGGUCCAGACUCCUACGGGAGGCAGCAGUAGGGAAUCUUCCGCAAUGGGCGAAAGCCUGACGGAGCAACGCCGCGUGAGUGAUGAAGGUCUUCGGAUCGUAAAACUCUUUUAUUAGGGAAGAGCAUAUGUGUAAGUAACUGUGCACAUCUUGACGGUACCUAAUCAGAAAGCCACGGCUAACUACGUG
RNAcentral lists this ribosomal RNA (497 nucleotides) under uncultured bacterium. RNAcentral's name for it is "partial 16S ribosomal RNA". It matches the Rfam family "Bacterial small subunit ribosomal RNA", at positions 28 to 507 of the family's 1533-position model. The record is from RNAcentral.